GGGAAGGGACAGGCUCCCUCUUUGUCAUGUGUGUGCGUGACACACGCUCUGUCAUGUGUGGCAGGCUGCCCUGGCACACGUGUGCGCGGCGUCUGCGUUAUCCUCUGCAUGCGUGGCAGCUUUGUCAUGUGUGCGCAGGGUCCCUUUAGGCACAUGGAUGUGCGUGUACAGACAUUGCUUUGUCACACAUGUGCGUCCUUUUGUCAUGGAUGGGCGGCUCUCAGUCAUGUGUGUGUUACCCGCUCCAUCCUACGUGUGUGUGUGUGUAUCCUCCGUGCUGUGUGUGUGUGUAACCUCCACCCUAUGUGUGUAUCCUCCAUGCUGUGUGUGUGUGUAACCUCCAUCCUAUGUGUGUAUCCUCCGUGCUGUGUGUAACCUCCAUCCUAUGUGUGUAUCCUCCAUGCUUUGUGUGUGUAUGCUCCAUGUUGUGUGUGUAUCCUCCAUGCUACGUGUGUGUGUGUGUAUCCCCCGUGCUGUGUGUAUCUUCCAUCCUAUAUGUGUGUGUGUAACCUCCAUCCUAUGUGUGUAUCCUCCAUGCUUUGUGUGUGUAUCCUCCAUGUUGUGUGUGUAUCCUCCAUGCUAUGUGUGUGUGUGUGUAUCCUCCGUGCUGUGUGUGUGUGUAACCUCCAUGCUAUGUGUGUGUGUAACCUCCAUCCUAUGUGUGUAUCCUCCAUGCUGUGUGUGUAUCCUCUGUGCUAUGUGUGUGUAUCCUCUACCCUAGAUGUGUGUGUGUAUCCUCCGUGCUAUGUGUGUGCAUCCUCCAUGCUGUGUGUGUAUCCCGUAUGUUGUCUGUGUAUCCUCCAUGCUAUGUGUGUGUGUGUAUCCUCCAUCCUAUAUGUGCGUGUGUAUCCUCCAUGCUUUGUGUGUGCAUCCUCCAUGCUCUAUGUGUAUCCUGUAUGUUGUAUGUGUAUCCUCCAUGCUAUGUGUGUGUGUAUCCUCCAUCAUAUAUGUGUGUGUGUAUCCUCCGCCCUAUGUGUGUAUCCUCCAUGCUAUGUGUGUGUGUGUAUCCUCCACCCUACGUGUGUGUGUAUCCUCCAUGCUGUAUGUGUGUGUGUAUCCUCCACCCUACGUGUGUAUCCUGCAUGCAGUGUGUGUCCUACACCUUAUAUGUGUGUGUAUCCUCCAUCCUAUAUGUGUGUGUAUCCUCCAUGCUAUGUGUAUCCUCCAUGCUUCGUGUGUAUCCUCCAUGCUACAUGUGUAUCCUCCAUGCUGCGCGUGUAUCCUCCAUUCUAUAUGUGUGUGUAUCCUCCAUCCUAUGUAUGUGUGUAUCCUCCAUGCUGUGUGUGUAUUCUACACUCUCUAUGUGUGUGUAUCUUCCAUCCUGUGUGUGUAUCCUCCAUCAUAUAUGUGUGUGUGUAUCCUCCACCCUACGUGUGUAUCCUCCAUCCUAUAUAUGUGUGUGUAUCCUCCGUGCUAUGUGUAGCCUUCGUGCUAUGUGCGUGUGUAUCCUCUGUGCUAUGUGUGUGUGUAUCCUCCACCCUACGUGUGUAUCCUGCAUGCUGCGUGUGUAUCCUACACCCUCUAUGUGUGUAUAUCCUCCAUCCUACGUGUGUAUCCUCCAUUCUCUGUGUGUGUGUGUAACCUCCACCCUACGUGUGUAUCCUGCAUGCUGUGUGUGUCCUACACCUUAUAUGUGUGUGUAUCCUCCGUGCUAUGUGUGUUCUCCACCCUAUGUGUGUGUGUGUAUCUUCUAUGCUGUGUGUGUAUCCUCCAUGCUACAUGUGUGUGUGUAUCCUCCAUGCUGUGUGUGCAUCCUCCGUGCUAUAUGUGUGUGUGUGUGUGUAUCCUCCGUGCUACAUGUGUGUGUAUCCUCCAUCCUGUAUGUGUGUGUGUGUAUCCUCCACCCUAUAUGUGUGUGUGUAUCCUCCAUGCUAUCUGUAUCCUACAUGCUUCGUGUGUAUCCUCCAUGCUACAUGUGUGUAUCCUCCAUCCUAUAUGUGUGUGUAUCUUCCAUCAUAUAUGUAUGUGUGUAUCCUCCAUCCUAUAUGUGUGUGUAUCUUCCAUCAUAUAUGUGUGUGUGUAUCCUCCAUCCUAUACGUGUGUGUAUCCUCCAUGCUAUGUGUGUAUCCUCCAUGCUAUGUGUGUGUGUGUAUCCUCCACCCUACGUGUGUAUCCUCCAUGCUGUGUGUCCUACACCUUAUAUGUGUGUGUAUCCUCCAUCCUGUAUGUGUGUGUAUCCUCCAUGCUAUGUGUGUGUAUCCUCCAUGCUAUGUGUAUCCUCCAUGCUACAUGUGUAUAUCCUCCACCCUACGUGUGUAUCCUCCAUUCUCUGUGUGUGUAUCCUCCAUGCUGCGCGUGUAUCCUAUAGCCUAUGUGUGUGUGUAUCCUCCAUCCUAUGUGUGUGUGUAUCCUCCAUCCUAUGUGUGUGUGUAUCCUCCAUCCUAUAUGUGUGUGUAUAUCCUCCACCCUACGUGUGUAUCCUGCAUGCUGUGUGUGUCCUACACCUUAUAUGUGUGUGUAUCCUCCGUGCUAUGUGUGUGUCCUUCACCCUAUGUGUGUGUGUGUAUCUUCUAUGCUGUGUGUGUAUCCUCCAUGCUACAUGUGUGUGUGUGUAUCCUCCAUCCUAUAUGUGUGUGUGUAUUCUACACCCUAUACAUGUGUGUGUAUCCUCCAUCCUAUAUGUGUAUCCUCCACACUAUGUGUGUAUUCUACACCCUAUACAUGUGUGUGCAUCCUACACCCUAUGUGUGUGUGUGUAUCCUCCAACCUGUAUGUGUGUGUGUAUUCUCCAUCCUAUGUGUGUGCAUCCUCCACCCUACAUGUGUGUGUGCCACCCCAUUCACCCCAAGUUAUGUUCAAACCCCAAACCAAAACCUUGUGGGACAUCACGGACACAGAAAUCACAAUUUCUGCCAGAAAAUCCCCAAAAUCCUCGGGUUCAUUCUUAGCCAUAAUCCCUAAAAACAGGGAUUUUGUGCAUCCUACAUGUGUGUGCAUCCUCCACCCUACAUGUGUGUGUGCCACCCCAAGUUAUAUUAAAACCCCAAACCAAAACCCUGUGGGACAUCACGGACACAGAGAUCCCCAAAAUCCUCGGGUUCAUUCUUAGCCAUAAUCCCUAAAAACAGGGAUUUUGUGCUUCCUACAUGUGUGUGCAUCCUCCACCCUACAUGUGUGUGAUCCAUGAUCCCAGCCAAGUUCUGUUCAAACCCCAAACCAAAACCCUGUGGGACAUCACGGACACAGAGAUCCCCAAAAUCCUCGGGUUCAUUCCCUAAAAUCCAGGGAUUGGGGUUGUUUUUGUGCUGUUAUAUCUAAAAUUCAGCCACUUUUCCUGCUGCAAAUUUGGGACGCUGAGGUUAACGCGCCGUUGCGCCGCCUGGCCAUUUCAAUAUUUGAUAAAUCCCCGCUCCCAAGCUUUGCUGAUAUUAAAUCCAGCUCAAUAAGAUAUUCCCCAUGGAAUAUCAAGGCUCUAAUUGAAUCUCAGGGGGUUCUGGGCCCGUUCACAAACAGCCUUUGAGUUGGUUUUUUGUGUUCCUGACGUCAGCCCAAAGGCUUGAUUGAAUUAUGGCCUGGGAUUGCAGCAGCACCUGCUCUGAAGAGUCCGGCAGCAUUUCCAGGAUAAACCUCAGUGGGAAGUUUGUGGCUGGAAUACAAACUUCCAACCCUGGAAUAUUUGGGAUUAAUGAAAUUACCCACAGCAGAUUCGUUUCUCUGGGGUUUACAGGGAAACAAAGAGGUUGGGACAGAGCCAAGCGCUGUAAUUCCGGUGCCACGGGGCCGUUUUGGGGUGGAUUUGGGUUGGUUGGAUACUUUGAGGAAAUCCUUGGUCUUGUUGGAUAAACACAGCAAAAUUCCCUUUUCCUAAAAUGAGCUUUUCUGUAAACACAGCCCAGCAGAGAGUUCAUUUAUCAACCGGCGCCUUAGCGGAUGGACAUCGGUU
This 3883-nucleotide long non-coding RNA is filed under the name Zonotrichia albicollis (white-throated sparrow). RNAcentral describes it as "lncRNA (ENSZALG00000008819.1)". Lineage: Eukaryota; Metazoa; Chordata; Aves; Passeriformes; Passerellidae. The record is from RNAcentral.